AAGCUCAUCAAAAAGAACAAGUUAUGAAACAAAUUCAAUAAGUAAUUUAAACCAAUAUUACAUAACGGGAAAAAUAAAUGAAAAAGAAUAUUUAAUACUUUUGAAUACAGGACAAGAAGAAAAUCAUAUAGCAAAAUAUCUAGUAAAAAAUGAAGAAAUAAAGACUGAUAAUGAUAUGUGCCCAGAUCUACUACGAAGUUUAAUAAAUAAUAAAAAUAUAGCAGAAAAAGAAAUAAUAAUAGGAGUUAGAAAAAUAAAAAUAGAAUUCGAAGUAAAGGCAGAAAUGCAAAAAGCAGAUAUAAUAUUAGGGAUAAAAUGGUUAGAACAAGUAAAACCAUAUAAUAUAGAACAUACACAAUUAACCUUAACAUAUAACAAAGAAAAGUUAUUCUUAAAAAGAGCCUUAACAUGAAAUGAAGAUAUAUGUAUUAAUGAAGAUAGUAGUAGAAGGAUAUUACAGUAGAUAUUAUACGCCUAUGAUAGAUACAGGAGCAGAAGUGAUAAUGAUAUGUGCCCAGAUCUACCACGAAGUUUAAUAAAUAAUAAAAAUAUAGCAGAAAAAGAAAUAAUAAUAGGAGUUAGAAAAAUAAAAAUAGAAUUCGAAGUAAAGGAAGAAAUGCAAAAAACAGAUAUAAUAUUAGGAAUAAAAUGGUUAGAACAAGUAAAACCAUAUAAUAUAGAACAUACACAAUUAACCUUAACAUAUAACAAAGAAAAGUUAUUCUUAAAAAGAGCCUUAACAUGAAAUGAAGAUAUAUGUAUUAAUGAAGAUAGUA
This 776-nucleotide long non-coding RNA is filed under the name Capsicum annuum. RNAcentral describes it as "long non-coding RNA (CANN_LNC017578)". Lineage: Eukaryota; Viridiplantae; Streptophyta; Magnoliopsida; Solanales; Solanaceae. The record is from RNAcentral.